RNAcentral lists this ribosomal RNA (465 nucleotides) under uncultured bacterium. RNAcentral's name for it is "bacterial SSU rRNA". It matches the Rfam family "Bacterial small subunit ribosomal RNA", at positions 8 to 493 of the family's 1533-position model. The record is from RNAcentral.
AGAGUUUAUCCUGGCUCAGAUUGAACGCUGGCGGCAUGCUUUACACAUGCAAGUCGAACGGCAGCGCGGGCAACCUGCGGCGAGUGCGAACGGGUAGUAUACAUCGGAACGUACCCAGAAGUGGGGGAUAACGUAGCGAAAGUUACGCUUAAUACCGCAUACGUUCUACGGAAGAAAGUGGGGGACCUUCGGGCCUCAUGCUUUUGGAGCGGCCGAUGUCUGAUUAGCUAGUUGGUGAGGUAAAGGCUCACCAAGGCGACGAUCAGUAGCUGGUCUGAGAGGACGACCAAGCCACACUGGGACUGAGACACGGCCCAGACUCCUACGGGAGGCAGCAGUGGGGAAUUUUGGACAAUGGGCGCAAGCCUGAUCCAGCAAUGCCGCGUGAGUGAAGAAGGCCUUCGGGUUGUAAAGCUCUUGUGUCAGGGAAGAAACGGUCUUGGAUAAUACCUGAGGCUAAUGACG